This 341-nucleotide unclassified non-coding RNA is filed under the name soil metagenome. Its description in RNAcentral is "partial contains 5.8S ribosomal RNA, internal transcribed spacer 2, and large subunit ribosomal RNA". The stretch from base 1 to 120 matches the Rfam family "5.8S ribosomal RNA", at positions 35 to 154 of the family's 154-position model. The record is from RNAcentral.
GAUGAAGAACGCAGCGAAAUGCGAUAAGUAGUGUGAAUUGCAGAAUUCAGUGAAUCAUCGAAUCUUUGAACGCACAUUGCGCCCUUUGGUAUUCCAAAGGGCAUGCCUGUUCGAGCGUCAUUUGUACCCUCAAGCUUUGCUUGGUGUUGGGCGUCUUGUCUCUAGCUUUGCUGGAGACUAGCCUUAAAGUAAUUGGCAGCCGGCCUACUGGUUUCGGAGCGCAGCACAAGUCGCACUCUCUAUCAGCAAAGGUCUAGCAUCCAUUAAGCCUUUUUUUCAACUUUUGACCUCGGAUCAGGUAGGGAUACCCGCUGAACUUAAGCAUAUCAAUAAGCGGAGGA